ACACGACUACAUUAGAUACCCGCGUAGUCCUAGCCGUAAACGAUACUCGCUAGGUGUCGGCCACGGUGCGACCGUUGUCGGUGCCGUAGGGAAGCCGUGAAGCGAGCCACCUGGAAGUACGGCCGCAAGGCUGAAACUUAAAGGAAUUGGCGGGGAGCACCACAACGGGUGGAGCUUGCGGUUUAAUUGGAUUCAACGCCGGAAAUCUUACCGGGACCGACAGCAACAUGAAGGCCAAGCUGAAGACUUUGCCGGAUUAGCUG
Molecule: ribosomal RNA, 263 nt
Filed under: uncultured archaeon
Lineage: Archaea
Description: partial 16S ribosomal RNA
Rfam family: Archaeal small subunit ribosomal RNA
Source: RNAcentral